UGCCAGCCGCCGCGGUAAUACAGAGGGUGCGAGCGUUAAUCGGAAUUACUGGGCGUAAAGCGUGCGUAGGCGGCUGUAUAAGUUGGGUGUGAAAGCCCCGGGCUCAACCUGGGAACUGCACUCAAAACUGUACAGCUAGAGUAGGAUAGAGGGAAGUGGAAUUUCCGGUGUAGCGGUGAAAUGCGUAGAUAUCGGAAGGAACACCAGUGGCGAAGGCGGCUUCCUGGACCGAUAUUGACACUGAGGUGCGAAAGCGUGGGGAGCAAACAGGAUUAGAUA
Molecule: ribosomal RNA, 279 nt
Filed under: uncultured bacterium
Lineage: Bacteria
Description: partial 16S ribosomal RNA
Rfam family: Bacterial small subunit ribosomal RNA
Source: RNAcentral